GCAAACGGGGUACAAGGGCAGCUGUCGUGGGCCCGGGAGACAAGGACGUUGAUAAUUGGGCCUUUCAAAAGAGAGGUGAUUGUGGGUCCCAUUAACUCAUUAAUCUGAGUCAGCUCGACGCCUUGUUGUAUCGACAGAUGACAAGUUGUGUGGUCCUAACCAAUUAUGUAAAACCUCCUUUCUUUUUUUGGAACUUUAUUAUAAUUGAUCACGAAAACACCUUUUAUUUUUGUAUGUAUUAAUACACUUUAAAUAUAUACAUUUUUAAUGUUUUAUUAUUGGUUUGCCGUUCGUAAUG
Arabidopsis thaliana (thale cress) is the source of this 298-nucleotide long non-coding RNA. RefSeq annotates it as other RNA. The record is from RefSeq. Lineage: Eukaryota; Viridiplantae; Streptophyta; Magnoliopsida; Brassicales; Brassicaceae. The transcript has a single exon.